This 447-nucleotide long non-coding RNA is filed under the name Homo sapiens (human). RNAcentral's name for it is "HSALNT0078447". The record is from RNAcentral. Lineage: Eukaryota; Metazoa; Chordata; Mammalia; Primates; Hominidae.
GUUAGGUCCCGUAAACCGGGAGAGGAGACACCCUCCCCGGGGCGCCCCUUACAUGACCACUCCCGAGUCGUCUGAGGGUCCGCAAGCCCUUAAACGAGGCUUUGAAAGCCUCGGACAGGACAGCUUCAGUGCGAUCAAAGUUCUACGUGCGAGAGCCGCCGAAUGCCAAACCUGACUGGCUGAAAGUUGGGUUCACCUUGGGCACCACUGUCUUCUUGUGGAUCUAUCUCAUCAAACAACACAAUGAAGAUAUUUUAGAGUACAAAAGAAGAAAUGGGCUGGAAUAAACUUUUGAAACACUAAUGUAGUAUGCUCCGUAUAGUGAUUGUAGCUGUUCCUCUGGAUUCACCAUCUGUUGAGUUGUAAAUGUGAGAGAAAAAGUUAUAUGUGAAUAUAUAUCAAGCCAGCAUUUGUAUUUUGCAUCAUUAAAUAAAAAGAAAUAAAAAU